This 497-nucleotide ribosomal RNA is filed under the name uncultured bacterium. RNAcentral's name for it is "partial 16S ribosomal RNA". It matches the Rfam family "Bacterial small subunit ribosomal RNA", at positions 28 to 507 of the family's 1533-position model. The record is from RNAcentral.
GAUGAACGCUGGCGGCGUGCCUAAUACAUGCAAGUCGAGCGAACAGAUAAGGAGCUUGCUCCUUUGACGUUAGCGGCGGACGGGUGAGUAACACGUGGGUAACCUACCUAUAAGACUGGGAUAACUUCGGGAAACCGGAGCUAAUACCGGAUAACAUUUGGAACCGCAUGGUUCUAAAGUGAAAGAUGGUUUUGCUAUCACUUAUAGAUGGACCCGCGCCGUAUUAGCUAGUUGGUAAGGUAACGGCUUACCAAGGCAACGAUACGUAGCCGACCUGAGAGGGUGAUCGGCCACACUGGAACUGAGACACGGUCCAGACUCCUACGGGAGGCAGCAGUAGGGAAUCUUCCGCAAUGGGCGAAAGCCUGAAGGAGCAACGCCGCGUGAGUGAUGAAGGGUUUCGGCUCGUAAAACUCUGUUAUUAGGGAAGAACAAAUGUGUAAGUAACUGUGCACGUCUUGACGGUACCUAAUCAGAAAGCCACGGCUAACUACGUG